Long non-coding RNA from Myotis daubentonii (Daubenton's bat), 1567 nucleotides. RefSeq lists it as uncharacterized. Lineage: Eukaryota; Metazoa; Chordata; Mammalia; Chiroptera; Vespertilionidae. The record is from RefSeq and is a predicted model, not a curated record.
CGCUGGCGGUGUGCACAAGUUCAGUGUUCAACUUCCCGCUCUUAACGAGAGCGGGGAUCCCUCUGGAGAGGCCCUCGGGAGCUGGCGGCGGGGCUGGGAGUGGCGUGGGGCAGCAGAGGCACAAGGAGCAGGAGAGUUGUUCCUGGGACGUGCUCUCCCGGAGGGCCUACUAGCACGUCCAGGUGCUGGGCAGGAUUCAGAGGGUCAACGAACAACGCCGUCACUCAAUUGUGAUUCUGAAAAGAAAAUUUCCUGACCACCAUCCCCAGAUUUUGCCUGAUGUCCCUGUCUGGUGCAUUUAAAAAAUGUUAACCAGUAGGAGAGGAAUCAAGUGCAGAAUCAUCACCACACAGCCAAAGCCUCUUCACUUCCAUGGAGGAAAAUAUUUGUCUCCCUGGCCAUCACCAAAUUUUGGAGGCGAGUUGGGCCCCUUCCGUCCGAGGCCACACUCAGAAUUCUUUACAUUCCUCAGUGCUGAUCAACCUUCCUGUCAGCCCUGAAGAAAGAAAGCAGGUAACCGAGUAAGCUCUGUGAUGGCAGAAAGAGACCAUAAAGAAAGAUUUCUUGCAUACACUGAAUUGGAUUGUUAGCCUCCCAAACUACUCUGAAGAAAACUUGGGAGGUCAAUGGUUUCUCCCCAUUUUACAAAUGAUGGUGCAAAGGCUCAGAGAGGUUAACAGACUUUCCUGAUAUCACACAGCCAUCGAUUGCUGAGCAGAGACUGGAACAGUGAUCUGCUCUCCCUAGCUCUACCUGGAGCUGCCUAGACUUCUCCAGGCCUUGUUGUUGGUGACCAGUUCAACCCUCAACCCCUAGUUUACAGAGAUAUGUAAGCGUGGCCAGAAUCUGACUGUUUCAAUAAAUCAUGAAAUUACUCUCUGCUUUUGGAAAACCUUCACUGAAGGCAGUGUUCCCACAUAUGGCCAGGUAUCUUUCCCUCUCCAUCUGUCCUUCCUGGUGCAGGGAGCACUACUGGAAGUCAGUGGGCGUCUGUGCACAAUAAAGAGCCCGGGAUGAGAAGCAGGAUGUGAAUCACGUCCGCAAAGUGAAGCCUCACGUCUUAACAAAUAAUUAAGAAAAAAGUUGAGGUCAUGUUCUCAGCUGAUCCUCACUGGCAGAGCCAACUUUGGAUUAAACACCUCUGCUCAGUGGUUUUGACAUUCUCAUUGAGGCAUAUCUUGAUGAAAUUAGAGAUGCAGAAAAUAUUUUUUGAUGGAGUACAGAGACAAAACAGCUAGAAGGGGAGCCGAUUUUAUGUGCAAACUUGUACAGACUGAGUUAAAGAGGAAAAGAGAGUAAGGCGCAUGCUCAUGUGGAUGUGUAUAAAUGAAGGAAGAUGAAAGCAGGUUAUAGAAGAGGAAGGGGGAAGCUGGGGUGAUGCUAAUUAAUUAGACUUUCAGAUCUUGGCAGCAAGAGGUGUGUUUAUAAACAAUCUUCAUUAAAACAUACCUUUCCAACUAUUAACUGUUUUAUUUGGCAGCAAUGGUCCCUGUCUAAUUAUUCUGUACUUGCUUCAACUUAAAAGUGGAGAAGGAAAUAUUAAUAAAUGAACACAACCAUUCUUAUG